Molecule: long non-coding RNA, 428 nt
Filed under: Daucus carota (carrot)
Lineage: Eukaryota; Viridiplantae; Streptophyta; Magnoliopsida; Apiales; Apiaceae
Description: long non-coding RNA (DCAR_LNC005322)
Source: RNAcentral
CGAAAACGACCCGAAAUCAUUCCGUGUACCUAUUUACCCGAACCGAACACGAAACGAAAUAAUUCGUGUAAACACGAAACGAAACGAAAUGUACACGAAAUUAAUUUCGUGUACUUUCGUGUAUUACCUGUUAUACGAAUUGACCCGAAAUAAUUAUACCCAUAGACACGAAAUAUACAUGCCUUUUGAUGCUUCAACAAAUUUCCAGUUCCAUUCUUUGAAUCAUAGAUACAUAUGUAACCACACUUCGUGCAUACUGCCCUGGAUACCUUAUCAGCUCCGAUUACAAGAUUAAAUGUUUUCCACACCUUUGAUCUCUUUCUCUUUGUACCAGGUGCUAUUAAGAUCUUCUUCGAAGAACCUUCAGUUGGUAGUUCUGUAGCCGGAUGUUCAGGAGUAGCAUUCUCUAAUAUAUCUGCUUCAUCAUC